RNAcentral lists this ribosomal RNA (414 nucleotides) under uncultured bacterium. RNAcentral's name for it is "bacterial SSU rRNA". It matches the Rfam family "Bacterial small subunit ribosomal RNA", at positions 505 to 916 of the family's 1533-position model. The record is from RNAcentral.
GUGUCAGCCGCCGCGGUAAUACGUAGGGCGCAAGCGUUAUCCGGAAUUAUUGGGCGUAAAGAGCUCGUAGGCGGUUUGUCGCGUCUGCCGUGAAAGUCCGGGGCUUAACUCCGGAUCUGCGGUGGGUACGGGCAGACUUGAGUGAUGUAGGGGAGACUGGAAUUCCUGGUGUAGCGGUGAAAUGCGCAGAUAUCAGGAGGAACACCGAUGGCGAAGGCAGGUCUCUGGGCAUUAACUGACGCUGAGGAGCGAAAGCAUGGGGAGCGAACAGGAUUAGAUACCCUGGUAGUCCAUGCCGUAAACGUUGGGCACUAGGUGUGGGGGACAUUCCACGUUUUCCGCGCCGUAGCUAACGCAUUAAGUGCCCCGCCUGGGGAGUACGGCCGCAAGGCUUAAACUCAAAGGAAUUGGCGG